This 59-nucleotide microRNA precursor is filed under the name Pongo abelii (Sumatran orangutan). Its description in RNAcentral is "miRNA". Lineage: Eukaryota; Metazoa; Chordata; Mammalia; Primates; Hominidae. The record is from RNAcentral.
UCGGCUCUGGGCGCAGGGGGGGUUCCCACGCCGCGGCAGCCACCUCUCUCUCCCCCCAG